Molecule: long non-coding RNA, 391 nt
Filed under: Trifolium pratense (red clover)
Lineage: Eukaryota; Viridiplantae; Streptophyta; Magnoliopsida; Fabales; Fabaceae
Description: long non-coding RNA (TPRA_LNC011920)
Source: RNAcentral
AAAAAAAAAAAAAAAGAAGAAAUGAAAAAGGUUCUCUAGUAUAACAAUGCUUGAUUUUUGGGGAAGAUGUUUGAAUAAAUAUCCAAUCAUGUGAAUAGGUGAUCUUUAGAACUCCAAGUUUUUCUGCUUACCAUCCAAAAAUUAUCCACCCUAAAAUUAACCUAAGCCCCGUUAUAACCCUCAAGUCCUCUAAAGGUGUGAAUUUUUAUGCAUGUCGAUCGAUUGUUAGAAUGUUUGCAAGCAUAUGGUAGAAUGGCUAUGUCUGUGUUGAUUGAGUGAAUUUAACAAUGCAAACAGGAGAGAAUGUGAGGGAGUGAAGUGACUAUUGUUUGGUCAAUAUUUGUGAGAAGUUCUUGAUUUUUCCAAUGUUCAUUUGUGUGCGAGUACANNN